GUUCAGAGAGCCUUAGGUUUUGGUGAAGCCUGGGUUGGAUUGUCCAUAAGCAAAAUCUAAUCUAGUUGUGUGACAGUUGCCAGAAAGGAAAUCAGAAAAAAUGUUUCUGAGAGGUUAUUAGAGGAGACAUCAGAGCUUGGUGCCGUGUAAUUUCUACUCCCGUCACGUUGCACUAAGACAACCCCCCCGCCUCCCUCCCGAACUGCUUGCCGUUCCUGCCAGCCUCCCCACACGCUGUAAGGUGCAGGAGAGGUACAACUUAGAUGACUUCACAUUCCAUCUGGAACAGUGUGUCCAGCCUUAGAAGCCAGGGGAGAUCUCACCGGGCACAUCCAGGGCCAGCAACGUGCAAGGCAGCCUGCACACCUCAACAGUCCUUCUGCUGGUCCUUACACCUACAACCAGCUCGAAAAGUUACUCAGCAGUGAAAAUCAAGGCAUUUCCCAAAUGCUUUCAGUGAGGGAGAAUACUGAUGUUGAACCUCAUCAGCCUGCUGCAAGCACAUUGGUAUUCAUGCAGCGACUUCAGAGCCACACUCCUGAGCAGGGUGAGACUAAAACAAGCAGACACUUCUCCCAGAUUUGUUUCUGCAGCAGCCCAACUAGGGACCUCAUCAGGAUGAGAGAACAGAGGAACAGCUGCCGCCGUCUCCUGAGGAGCCCCCCAGCCAGGAGCUGAGCAGCCUCAAAUCCCAGAGAGCUGCUGCUGGAUCUCCCAUAGCUUUGGGCUUCCCGUGGCAGAGCUGAUCCCAGCUGGGGCUGGGAGACACCAUCCUGGCAGCAGCAUCACCUCGAGCCAGCGAGGAACCAACCCUGCCCCAAAGUGACCCGCUUCCCUCUUGGCUUUUGGGCAAAAGUUUGUUUUUCGCUGGAAAAAUUCCUCAUGAGCCUUUCUUGACACAUUUGCGUGUUACACAGUCGCUC
RNAcentral lists this long non-coding RNA (923 nucleotides) under Calidris pugnax (ruff). Its description in RNAcentral is "lncRNA (ENSCPUG00000009909.1)". Lineage: Eukaryota; Metazoa; Chordata; Aves; Charadriiformes; Scolopacidae. The record is from RNAcentral.